RNAcentral lists this unclassified non-coding RNA (1035 nucleotides) under Ixodes scapularis (black-legged tick). RNAcentral describes it as "uncharacterized LOC120838977, transcript variant X2". Lineage: Eukaryota; Metazoa; Arthropoda; Arachnida; Ixodida; Ixodidae. The record is from RNAcentral.
GAGCCGAACGAGCGCCUUGACUUGGUCGGCUUGGUUAUCCGCCGUGUCGAUCUCGACUUCAAACGCCGCCGCUCGGCAAUGCCGACCGGGUGCUCUGUUCUCCUGUGUCCUAACCGGACUCCACAAAGCCCUCUUGUCCGUGCUAAAAAGCUCCUGUUCCAUCGUUUACCGCGCGAAGAACCUCUCAGGGGUGAGUGGUGUGGGAGGAUUAGUAGAAGGGACCCCGGACAGGCAGACUUGCGCGUGUGCUCCGAACACUUCGACAGCGACCGCGACUACCGUCGUCUGCCUAGUGUUCUUCGCGAUGCCAGGCAGGCGAUGAAGAACGUCUACCUGAAGCCAGGUGCUGUACCUUCGCUCCGACUGCCCCCCACUGCGAAGCGCCUCUCCCCUUCCAAGGACCCAGCCGUGCCAACGUCGAAGCGCCGAAGAACUGAGAACGAUGAGCCGGUGGAGGUGGAUUGCUUCGAGGGGAGUACACAUCGCGAGCACAGCUGCCAAUCUCGUCACCGACCGGUGACACGCGACACAGCGGUCCAGGCCGACCUGCAUGAAAAUCCGGGACCCGCACGGACUCCGAGGUCGCCUGGCACGAAGGACAGUUCUGUGGGCACAGACCGAUGGCUGGGAAAGCGAUCUACCGGCACGCAGUGGAAUUCCUACGCCAAAGGUAUCACCACCCACUGGGUCCAGACCGAGGACUUGGAGACCGAGGACUUGGAGACACCACUGCCGGCAGCAACAGCACAACCACUGCUGUAGCCUUCGCCUUCACCACCACCACCUCUGCAGUGCCACCACGAAGACCGGGCCCGGCAUGGUGCAAUGAGCCCUGUCCUCAGUGAUUCGGACGAGGAGAAGGAGGAAGAAGAGGAGGACAACGACGACUGCGACGGUGACCCUCUGUGGGAGCCACCCACUUUGUCGAGCCCUUGGGACUGCACCAAAACGUUUGGAGUUCCCUGUUUUAUACAAAUACGAAACAGUGUGGAUCUCUAGUGUUUAUGUGACAAGUGAAAUGCACCUCUGAGAGAA